AUUUUUUUAUUUAAUUAAUGUAGAAUAACACAUAUCAUUUUCUUGUGUGAUGAUGUGUCACUCAUAUAGAGAAAAGAGUUGACCAACUUUCACAUAUAUGAUU
RNAcentral lists this small RNA (103 nucleotides) under Arabidopsis thaliana (thale cress). RNAcentral describes it as "ATSL150730". Lineage: Eukaryota; Viridiplantae; Streptophyta; Magnoliopsida; Brassicales; Brassicaceae. The record is from RNAcentral.